CGGGUGAGUAAUACAUCGGAACGUGUCUUCUAGUGGGGGAUAACUGCCCGAAAGGGCAGCUAAUACCGCAUGAGACCUGAGGGUGAAAGCGGGGGAUCGCAAGACCUUGCGCUGGAAGAGCGGCCGAUGUCCGAUUAGCUAGUUGGUGAGGUAAAGGCUCACCAAGGCGACGAUCGGUAGCUGGUCUGAGAGGACGACCAGCCACACUGGGACUGAGACACGGCCCAG
Molecule: ribosomal RNA, 228 nt
Filed under: uncultured bacterium
Lineage: Bacteria
Description: partial 16S ribosomal RNA
Rfam family: Bacterial small subunit ribosomal RNA
Source: RNAcentral